This 253-nucleotide ribosomal RNA is filed under the name uncultured bacterium. RNAcentral's name for it is "partial 16S ribosomal RNA". It matches the Rfam family "Bacterial small subunit ribosomal RNA", at positions 524 to 776 of the family's 1533-position model. The record is from RNAcentral.
UACAGAGGGUGCAAGCGUUAAUCGGAAUUACUGGGCGUAAAGCGCGCGUAGGCGGUUAUUUAAGUCGGGUGUGAAAGCCCCGGGCUCAACCUGGGAAUUGCAUCCGAUACUGAGUAACUAGAGUAUGAGAGAGGGAGGUAGAAUUCCACGUGUAGCAGUGAAAUGCGUAGAGAUGUGGAGGAACACCGAUGGCGAAGGCAGCCCCCUGGGCUAACACUGACGCUCAUGCACGAAAGCGUGGGGAGCAAACAGG